RNAcentral lists this ribosomal RNA (126 nucleotides) under Vibrio hangzhouensis. RNAcentral describes it as "23S rRNA. Bacterial LSU". It matches the Rfam family "Bacterial large subunit ribosomal RNA", at positions 2804 to 2925 of the family's 2925-position model. The record is from RNAcentral. Lineage: Bacteria; Pseudomonadati; Pseudomonadota; Gammaproteobacteria; Vibrionales; Vibrionaceae.
AUGAGUCUUCCCUGAUACUUUAAGUAUCCUUAAGGGUUGUUCGAGACUAGAACGUUGAUAGGCAGGGUGUGUAAGCGUUGUGAGGCGUUGAGCUAACCUGUACUAAUUGCCCGUGAGGCUUAACCA